AAAUUGAAGAGUUUGAUCAUGGCUCAGAUUGAACGCUGGCGGCAGGCCUAACACAUGCAAGUCGAACGGUAACAGGAAGCAGCUUGCUGCUUUGCUGACGAGUGGCGGACGGGUGAGUAAUGUCUGGGAAACUGCCUGAUGGAGGGGGAUAACUACUGGAAACGGUGGCUAAUACCGCAUAACGUCGCAAGACCAAAGAGGGGGACCUUCGGGCCUCUUGCCAUCAGAUGUGCCCAGAUGGGAUUAGCUUGUUGGUGAGGUAACGGCUCACCAAGGCGACGAUCCCUAGCUGGUCUGA
RNAcentral lists this ribosomal RNA (298 nucleotides) under Salmonella enterica. RNAcentral describes it as "partial 16S ribosomal RNA". It matches the Rfam family "Bacterial small subunit ribosomal RNA", at positions 1 to 295 of the family's 1533-position model. The record is from RNAcentral. Lineage: Bacteria; Pseudomonadati; Pseudomonadota; Gammaproteobacteria; Enterobacterales; Enterobacteriaceae. RNAcentral also lists the same sequence under 3 other names.